This 64-nucleotide transfer RNA is filed under the name Ectenagena elongata. RNAcentral's name for it is "tRNA-Leu". The record is from RNAcentral. Lineage: Eukaryota; Metazoa; Mollusca; Bivalvia; Venerida; Vesicomyidae.
AUUAAAAUGGCAGAUAAUAUGCAUUAGAUUUAAAACCUAAAGAUGAGCGAGUGCUCUUUUAAUG